Molecule: ribosomal RNA, 253 nt
Filed under: uncultured bacterium
Lineage: Bacteria
Description: partial 16S ribosomal RNA
Rfam family: Bacterial small subunit ribosomal RNA
Source: RNAcentral
UACGAAGGGGGCUAGCGUUGCUCGGAAUCACUGGGCGUAAAGCGCACGUAGGCGGCUUUUUAAGUCAGGGGUGAAAUCCUGGAGCUCAACUCCAGAACUGCCUUUGAUACUGAGAGGCUUGAGUCCAGGAGAGGUGAGUGGAACUGCGAGUGUAGAGGUGAAAUUCGUAGAUAUUCGCAAGAACACCAGUGGCGAAGGCGGCUCACUGGCCCGGUACUGACGCUGAGGUGCGAAAGCGUGGGGAGCAAACAGG